Molecule: microRNA precursor, 109 nt
Organism: Dasypus novemcinctus (nine-banded armadillo)
Lineage: Eukaryota; Metazoa; Chordata; Mammalia; Cingulata; Dasypodidae
Gene: MIR708
Product: microRNA 708
Source: Ensembl
CUGUGCGUGACGUGGUGACUGCCCUCAAGGAGCUUACAAUCUAGCUGGGGGUGAGAGACCUGCACAGGAUCUCAACUAGACUGGGAGCUUCUAGAGGGCAGGGGCCUUA